CCUACGGGUGGCUGCAGUGGGGAAUAUUGGACAAUGGGCGAAAGCCUGAUCCAGCCAUGCCGCGUGUGUGAAGAAGGUCUUAGGAUUGUAAAGCACUUUAAGUUGGGAGGAAGGGUUGUAGAUUAAUACUCUGCAAUUUUGACGUUACCGACAGAAUAAGCACCGGCUAACUCUGUGCCAGCAGCCGCGGUAAUACAGAAGGUGCAAGCGUUAAUCGGGAGUACGUGGCGUGUAGCGCGCGUAGGUGGUUCCCCGGGCUCAACCUGGGAACUGCAUCCAAAACUGGCAAGCUAGAGUAUGGUAGAGGGUGGUGGAAUUUCCUGUGGAGCGGUGAAAUGCGUAGAUAUAGGAAGGAACACCAGUGGCGAAGGCGACCACCUGGACUGAUACUGACACUGAGGUGCGAAAGCGUGGGGAGCAAACAGGAUUAGAUACCCGUGUAGUC
RNAcentral lists this ribosomal RNA (445 nucleotides) under uncultured bacterium. RNAcentral's name for it is "partial 16S ribosomal RNA". It matches the Rfam family "Bacterial small subunit ribosomal RNA", at positions 338 to 795 of the family's 1533-position model. The record is from RNAcentral.